CCUACGGGAGGCAGCAGUGGGGAAUAUUGCACAAUGGGGGAAACCCUGAUGCAGCGACGCCGCGUGAGUGAAGAAGUAAUUCGUUACGUAAAGCUCUAUCAGUAGGGAAGAAAAUGACGGUACCUGAGUAAUAACCCCUGGCUAACUACGUGCCAGCAGCCGCGGUCAUACGUAGGGGACAAGCGUUAUCCGGAUUUACUGGGGGUAACGGGAGCGUAGACGGUGCGCCAAGUCUGGAGUGAAAUGCCGCAGCUUAACUGCGGAGCUGCUUUGGAAACUGGCGAACUAGAGUGCGGGAGGGGUGAGCGGAAUUCCUAGUGUAGCGGUGAAAUGCGUAGAUAUUAGGAGGAACACCGGUGGCGAAGGCGGCUUACUGGACCGUAACUGACGUUGAGGCUCGAAAGCGUGGGGAGCAAACAGGAUUAGAUACCCGAGUAGUC
RNAcentral lists this ribosomal RNA (440 nucleotides) under uncultured bacterium. RNAcentral describes it as "partial 16S ribosomal RNA". It matches the Rfam family "Bacterial small subunit ribosomal RNA", at positions 338 to 795 of the family's 1533-position model. The record is from RNAcentral.